RNAcentral lists this ribosomal RNA (253 nucleotides) under uncultured bacterium. RNAcentral describes it as "partial 16S ribosomal RNA". It matches the Rfam family "Bacterial small subunit ribosomal RNA", at positions 524 to 776 of the family's 1533-position model. The record is from RNAcentral.
UACGGAGGGUGCAAGCGUUAUCCGGAUUCACUGGGGUUAAAGGGUGCGUAGGAGGGCAGGGAAGUCAGUGGUGAAAUCUCCGAGCUUAACUCGGAAACUGCCGUUGAUACUCUCUGUCUUGAAUACCGUGGAGGUGAGCGGAAUAUGUCAUGUAGCGGUGAAAUGCUUAGAUAUGACAUAGAACACCAAUUGCGAAGGCAGCUCACUACGCGAAUAUUGACACUGAGGCGCGAAAGCGUGGGGAUCAAACAGG